GGAGAUCCAGGAUCCAACAAGAACUCGGGAGGGGGAGAGGAGGCCCCUGGAGAACUCUGACCUCCUUUCUCAUGGCUUUCCCCUGCAGCUGGAGCGAGGUUUGCUUCGAGAGGAGCUGGUGUCACCAUGCUGAGACUGAGAAGCAGGCAACCCAGGCUUAUCCACGAGGGUACAGAUGGCCGCGUCUAGCUGUGCAUACAACAGAACAGUGUUGCUCAGUGUGUGGUCCCCAGACCAGCAGCAGCAGCACCUGGGAACUCACUGGAAAUGCUGGAUCUCGGAUCACACCCCAGACCUGCUGCGUCAGACACUUGGGGAUGGGAGGAGCAGCAACUUGGAUUGUCAGAAACCCUCCAGGGGAUUUCAUGCACCCUGAAGUUUGA
This 383-nucleotide long non-coding RNA is filed under the name Mustela putorius furo (domestic ferret). RNAcentral describes it as "lncRNA (ENSMPUG00000025433.1)". Lineage: Eukaryota; Metazoa; Chordata; Mammalia; Carnivora; Mustelidae. The record is from RNAcentral.